RNAcentral lists this ribosomal RNA (1440 nucleotides) under metagenome. Its description in RNAcentral is "bacterial LSU rRNA". It matches the Rfam family "Bacterial large subunit ribosomal RNA", at positions 1489 to 2925 of the family's 2925-position model. The record is from RNAcentral.
GUUCAGACGUGUGCUCUUCCGAUCUCUCCACCCAGACUCAUCCAUUCACUCCAAGAUAGAGAGUUUCUGUUGGUGCUGAUAUCGAAAUGCGGGAAGCAGGGUGAUCCUAUGCUGCCAAGAAAAUCUUCUAGCGAGGUUCUAGCCGCCCGUACCCCAAACCGACUCAGGUGGUUAGGUAGAGAAUACCAAGGCGAUCGAGUGAAUCGUAGUUAAGGAAUUCGGCAAAAUGCCCCCGUAACUUCGGGAGAAGGGGGGCCCGGAUUCUGAAGUCCUUUACGGACUAGGAUGAUGGGCCGCAGAGACCAGGGAGAAGCGACUGUUUACUAAAAACACAGGUCCGUGCGAAGUUGCAAAACGAUGUAUACGGACUGACGCCUGCCCGGUGCUGGAAGGUUAAGAGGACGGGUUAGACGCAAGUCGAAGCUCAGAAUUUAAGCCCCAGUAAACGGCGGUGGUAACUAUAACCAUCCUAAGGUAGCGAAAUUCCUUGUCGGGUGAGUUCCGACCUGCACGAAUGGCGUAACGACUUCUCCACUGUCUCAACUGCGAACUCGGCGAAAUUGCAUUACGAGUAAAGAUGCUCGUUACGCGCAGCAGGACGGAAAGACCCCGGGACCUUUACUAUAGCUUGGUAUUGGUGUUUGGGACGGCUUGUGUAGGAUAGGUGGGAGACUGUGAAGCUGACACGCCAGUGUUAGUGGAGUCAUCGUUGAAAUACCACUCUGGUCGUUCUGAAUAUCUAACCUCGGUCCGUGAUCCGGAUCAGGGACAUUGCCUGGUGGGUAGUUUAACUGGGGCGGUUGCCUCCUAAAAUGUAACGGAGGCGCUCAAAGGUUCCCUCAGUCUGGUUGGUAAUCAGAUUUCGAGUGUAAGUGCACAAGGGAGCUUGACUGUGAGACUGACAAGUCGAGCAGGGACGAAAGUCGGAACUAGUGACCCGACGGUGGCUCGUGGAAGCGCCGUCGCUCAACGGAUAAAAGGUACCCCGGGGAUAACAGGCUGAUCUUGCCCAAGAGUCCAUAUCGACGGCAUGGUUUGGCACCUCGAUGUCGGCUCGUCGCAUCCUGGGGGUGUAGUCGCUCCCAAGGGUUGGGCUGUUCGCCCAUUAAAGCGGUACGCGAGCUGGGUUUAGAACGUCGUGAGACAGUUCGGUCCCUAUCCGCUGUGCGCGUAGGAAACUUGAGAAGACCUGUCCCUAGUACGAGAGGACCGGGAUGGACGAACCUCUGGUGUGUCAGUUGUCUUGCCAAAGGCACGGCUGAUUGGCUACGUUCGGAAGUGAUAACCGCUGAAAGCAUCUAAGCGGGAAGCACGCUUCAAGAUGAGGUUUCCAAGGGCUUUGCCCGAGAGGCUCCCAGUAGACGACUGGGUUGAUAGGCCAGAUGUGGAAGUGCAGCAAUGCAUGUAGCUGACUGGUACUAAUAAGCCGAUAACUUGACC